UAGUAACUGCGAGUGAAGCGGGAAAAGCUCAAAUUUAAAAUCUGGCGGUCUCUGGCCGUCCGAGUUGUAAUCUAGAGAAGUAAUGCCCGCGCUGGACCGUGUACAAGUCUCCUGGGAUGGAGCGUCAUAGAGGGUGAGAAUCCCGUCUCUGACACGGACUACCAGGGCUUUGUGGUAUGCUCUCAAAGAGUCGAGUUGUUUGGGAAUGCAGCUCAAAAUGGGUGGUAAAUUCCAUCUAAAGCUAAAUAUUGGCGAGAGACCGAUAGCGAACAAGUACCGUGAGGGAAAGAUGAAAAGAACUUUGGAAAGAGAGUUAAACAGUACGUGAAAUUGCUGAAAGGGAAACGCUUGAAGUCAGUCGCGUUGGCCAGGGAUCAGCCUCACUCUUGUGUGGUGUACUUUCUGGUUGACGGGUCAGCAUCAAUUUUGACCGCUGGAAAAAGGCCUGGGGAAUGUGGCAGCUUCGGCUGUGUUAUAGCCCCUAGUCACAUAUAGCGGUUGGGAUUGAGGAACUCAGCACGCCGCAAGGCCGGGUUUCGACCACGUUCGUGCUUAGGAUGCUGGCAUAAUGGCUUUAAGCGACCCGUCUUGAAACACGGACCAAGGAGUCUAACAUGCCUGCGAGUAUUUGGGUGGAAAACCCGAGUGCGUAAUGAAAGUGAAAGUUGAGAUCCCUGUCGUGGGGAGCAUCGACGCCCGGACCAGAACUUUUGGGACGGAUCCGCGGUAGAGCAUGUAUGUUGGGACCCGAAAGAUGGUGAACUAUGCCUG
Molecule: ribosomal RNA, 771 nt
Filed under: Chlorophyllum agaricoides
Lineage: Eukaryota; Fungi; Basidiomycota; Agaricomycetes; Agaricales; Agaricaceae
Description: eukaryotic LSU rRNA
Rfam family: Eukaryotic large subunit ribosomal RNA
Source: RNAcentral